Molecule: ribosomal RNA, 1359 nt
Filed under: Arthrobacter oryzae
Lineage: Bacteria; Bacillati; Actinomycetota; Actinomycetes; Micrococcales; Micrococcaceae
Description: 16S ribosomal RNA
Rfam family: Bacterial small subunit ribosomal RNA
Source: RNAcentral
AUGCCAGCUUGCUGGUGGAUUAGUGGCGAACGGGUGAGUAACACGUGAGUAACCUGCCCUUAACUCUGGGAUAAGCCUGGGAAACUGGGUCUAAUACCGGAUAUGACUCCUCAUCGCAUGGUGGGGGGUGGAAAGCUUUAUUGUGGUUUUGGAUGGACUCGCGGCCUAUCAGCUUGUUGGUGAGGUAAUGGCUCACCAAGGCGACGACGGGUAGCCGGCCUGAGAGGGUGACCGGCCACACUGGGACUGAGACACGGCCCAGACUCCUACGGGAGGCAGCAGUGGGGAAUAUUGCACAAUGGGCGCAAGCCUGAUGCAGCGACGCCGCGUGAGGGAUGACGGCCUUCGGGUUGUAAACCUCUUUCAGUAGGGAAGAAGCGAAAGUGACGGUACCUGCAGAAGAAGCGCCGGCUAACUACGUGCCAGCAGCCGCGGUAAUACGUAGGGCGCAAGCGUUAUCCGGAAUUAUUGGGCGUAAAGAGCUCGUAGGCGGUUUGUCGCGUCUGCCGUGAAAGUCCGGGGCUCAACUCCGGAUCUGCGGUGGGUACGGGCAGACUAGAGUGAUGUAGGGGAGACUGGAAUUCCUGGUGUAGCGGUGAAAUGCGCAGAUAUCAGGAGGAACACCGAUGGCGAAGGCAGGUCUCUGGGCAUUAACUGACGCUGAGGAGCGAAAGCAUGGGGAGCGAACAGGAUUAGAUACCCUGGUAGUCCAUGCCGUAAACGUUGGGCACUAGGUGUGGGGGACAUUCCACGUUUUCCGCGCCGUAGCUAACGCAUUAAGUGCCCCGCCUGGGGAGUACGGCCGCAAGGCUAAAACUCAAAGGAAUUGACGGGGGCCCGCACAAGCGGCGGAGCAUGCGGGAUUAAUUCGAUGCAACGCGGAAGAACCUUACCAAGGGCUUGACAUGGGGCCGGGACCGGGGCUGGAAAACAGUCCUUCCCCUUUGGGGCCGGUUCACAGGUGGUGCAUGGUUGUCGUCAGCUCGUGUCGUGAGAUGUUGGGUUAAGUCCCGCAACGAGCGCAACCCUCGUUCCAUGUUGCCAGCGCGUAAUGGCGGGGACUCAUGGGAGACUGCCGGGGUCAACUCGGAGGAAGGUGGGGACGACGUCAAAUCAUCAUGCCCCUUAUGUCUUGGGCUUCACGCAUGCUACAAUGGCCGGUACAAAGGGUUGCGAUACUGUGAGGUGGAGCUAAUCCCAAAAAGCCGGUCUCAGUUCGGAUUGGGGUCUGCAACUCGACCCCAUGAAGUCGGAGUCGCUAGUAAUCGCAGAUCAGCAACGCUGCGGUGAAUACGUUCCCGGGCCUUGUACACACCGCCCGUCAAGUCACGAAAGUUGGUAACACCCGAAGCCGGUGGC